AUUGAACGCUGGCGGCAUGCCUUACACAUGCAAGUCGAACGGCAGCGGACCUUCGGGUGCCGGCGAGUGGCGAACGGGUGAGUAAUUUAUCGGAACGUACCUUUCAGUGGGGGAUAACGUAGCGAAAGUUACGCUAAUACCGCAUAUCCUGUGAGCAGGAAAGCAGGGGAUCGCAAGACCUUGCGCUGAUUGAGCGGCCGAUAUCAGAUUAGCUAGUUGGUGAGGUAAAGGCUCACCAAGGCGACGAUCUGUAGCGGGUCUGAGAGGAUGAUCCGCCACACUGGAACUGAGACACGGUCCAGACUCCUACGGGAGGCAGCAGUGGGGAAUUUUGGACAAUGGGCACAAGCCUGAUCCAGCCAUGCCGCGUGAGUGAAGAAGGCCUCGG
This 388-nucleotide ribosomal RNA is filed under the name uncultured bacterium. RNAcentral describes it as "bacterial SSU rRNA". It matches the Rfam family "Bacterial small subunit ribosomal RNA", at positions 30 to 420 of the family's 1533-position model. The record is from RNAcentral.